Molecule: long non-coding RNA, 491 nt
Filed under: Homo sapiens (human)
Lineage: Eukaryota; Metazoa; Chordata; Mammalia; Primates; Hominidae
Description: HSALNT0375287
Source: RNAcentral
GGUGCUGGCGCAGGCGCUAAGAUGUUUAUAAUAAUUUAAGCUUAACGCUCGGAAAAUACUUUCUAAGGAGCAAGGAAAUGCUUUUUCUGCCCCAUCAGAAAGACUGUGUUUGAGGUGAAGGAAGGUUUAAUACCUUUAAAAAAUCCAUUUUACAAGAUGAGAUGGAUCCAGAUGUGGACCACGGCUCACCACAGGAUGACUCCCGCCAGCAUUCCCUGCAGACUCUCAAAGGGCAUCCAUGCAGUGGCGCGUGUGACACUCCACGCAGCAAGGCUCUGCCGCAGGGCCUGGUGUGGACUAAACAGAGUCGGUUAGAAAAGUGUUCUGAUGCAGUCACAGCUUUCAAGGCCUCAGCUUGCAUAAUUACAAGGGGCAGGAGCUGAAAUUUCAUCUGUGCGACAUCAGCUCAAAAGGAGCCGAGACUGGAAGAAACCGGGAGCUAUGAUUUGCACUUUGAUAACUUAAGUGAAAUAAAUCGAUGAUUCCAAAUG